UCUUCUUCAGCUUGAACCAGGCUUGGGGUGAGUGUUCAAGAAUUCAUGGAUAGAUUCACCACGGUGGAGCAGCAAGUGCCAGCAACUCCGUUUCUCCAGGAAAGUGUCUAGAGUAUUGAAAAGGGAAACUUGGAGAGGAAUCACAGGGAGAGGAGGUUUCAGGGACCAAGAGGCAACUGACAAAAGAAGGAAAACAAAGAUUGAAAGAUAGGGAAGAAAUAGAACACAUUGCAGGACAGAGGGGACACUCCACAAACUGUGGUUGGGAGUGCCUUGCCAGCCACCACCCAGGAGGCAAAACGAAACUAAAACUUUUUCACCCACAGAGAACCACACUGGGACUGAGUCAGUUAGUAGUUGGAACCUACAGUGAAAGCAGGGGAUUCUGCUUCUGGAGAGGCCUUCUGGUUCACAUUUGAUUGCCCUGAUAGAUACUCUGCAACUGACCAGCUUGCUCUUACUGUAGCUGACUUGAUUGCAUUGGCAUAUUCUGGACUCAGUGGACAAUUUCAUGUGAGUGAAUCUGUCUGCAAAUUUCACCAUCAAGGAGAGGGACAACACGAGUUUCUAACCCAAGAACUCUGCAAACAGGCGUGCAAUCUGGAAGAAAGAAGUGCUUCAGUGUUGCAAUGGAUGGACCAGAGGAGUUACUGCUGUGUGAGGAGUCAGAUUCUGGCCAAGAAGCUACAUGUGAAUCAUAUAUGCACUGAUUCACUGGAAUAUUUAACCUGUGUUCUUAUCAAAAAUUUUAUAGGUCUGAGUUUUUGUUUGUUUCUUAUUUUAUUUAGUAAUGUAUCAUUGUGUUAUGUUCUUUUAUGUUUUUUUUUUUUGUGUGUGUGUGUGUACCAGGUAUUUGAUUUUGUAUGUUUUUUCCACCAGACGCCCCUGGUGGGCCUUCUCAUCCUGCUACCGUUGUUUAGGGCCUCCCUCAUCUGCCUGGCUUUGUUCUUACAAAGGCAGAAGAUCUGAUGUGAGAGGGAUGCACUUUGAUGAGGUGUGGAUUUAAUUUCUGGCAGGUAAUAAUUCACUAACCACAGUGAGUUAAUUACUUACUAAGGAGUUGAUGAGCUCCACUACUGGAGAAUGCAUGUCAGAUUCAUCCAUAGGUCCAGUGAAAUGAGUCUUCUAUACCUCUGACACAAAUAUACAACAUAUAUUGCUUCACUUUUCUUAGCAGUCGCCUCCACUUCACUACCGCUUUUCCUCUUGCUUCUGGACCUCGUGGGCUCUGACUGACCCUGUACUGCAUAGUAUCCUGUCACACUGGACAGUAAGCACACAGCAGCACACCUGUGACAAUAUCCAGUGGUCUCGUGAGCUACUAGUGCAAUUUGUUUGUAUCUGAAAAUGCUUGUAAAGUGAGGUCCAUUCAUAUCUGGGAAAGUUUGCAACUCAAAUGUUCACACAUUGGGGAGUUACUAUAUUAAAUUGGGAGGAAUCAGGAUCUCCAUGAGAGGGGCAAUCUGAAGGAGACAACUUGAAGUGCGGAUGGGGUUCAGAAGUCCCUACCCUAAGCAACUGUUGACAGAACAAUUCCUCUCUCCAGACUUUUGCUUACAAACCUGCAAAUGUAGAACAGAAGUGACCUCCACAGGACUUACUCUUCUGAGUCUCUAGGAAAAAGGAAAGCAUAAAAACUAAUCUGUAAAAACUUUUACUGCUCCCUGGCCCCUUCCCAGAGUCCAGCUUUAACUGAAAGUGUCUACUCAUAGCUAACGGACUCUGUGUAUUUGAACUUCUCUGGCCCUUGGUGAUAGGCAUGGAGGUCUGCUGGAGGGACUGGAACUUGGGCCAGGGCAAUCUUCAAGGAUGAAACACUAGUUAUUUUGAAUAUCCAUGCAGUGAUUUUUUAUGGGUGAUGGAGGAUUGGUGCUAAGAACAGCUGGACAUGUAGGUUGCAAACAGCGCUAAUUUUGGACUUGUUUUGACAUAUUUCCAGGAUGUAGUCCGUGGUUUCCAGGAUAAACGGAGUCCUUAAGCAGCGAAUGCUACUUUCUAUAAUAUGUGUCUGUCUGAAUAUUUCUGAAGCACUGAGAAAAUCCUACCUAGAAUGGAGCAGGAGUCACAGUGGAAAACUUUGGUACUUUCUGUUGGAGCUAUCUACCCCACAGACCUAUUUCACUCGUAGGCAUUUAUCCAGGAGAAAUACAAAUGUAUAUCUACAAAAAAACUCAUAAGAUUGUUUAUAGCUUUUUCAUGAUAGUCAGAACCCAUAAAUAAACUAGCUAUCCAUCCUCAGGAGAAUGAUAAACCAUAGUAAAGUCAUGUAAUGGAAUAUUGCUUAGCAAUAAUUAAAAGAAAUAGCGUCUACCAA
Cavia porcellus (domestic guinea pig) is the source of this 2314-nucleotide long non-coding RNA. RefSeq lists it as uncharacterized. NCBI's taxonomy places the organism in Eukaryota, Metazoa, Chordata, Mammalia, Rodentia, Caviidae. The transcript is spliced from 2 exons. The record is from RefSeq and is a predicted model, not a curated record.